This 443-nucleotide ribosomal RNA is filed under the name uncultured bacterium. Its description in RNAcentral is "partial 16S ribosomal RNA". It matches the Rfam family "Bacterial small subunit ribosomal RNA", at positions 338 to 795 of the family's 1533-position model. The record is from RNAcentral.
CCUACGGGAGGCUGCAGUGGGGAAUAUUGGGCAAUGGGCGCAAGCCUGACCCAGCAACGCCGCGUGAAGGAAGAAGGCCUUCGGGUUGUAAACCUCUUUUCUCAGGGACGAAGAAAGUGACGGUACCUGAGGAAUCAGCCACGGCCAACUACGGGCCAGCAGCCGCGGUAAUACGUAGGUGGCAAGCGUUUUCCGGAUAUACUGGGUGGAAAGGGCGUGUAGGCGGGGAAGCAAGUCAGAUGUGAAAAACACGGGCUCAACCUGUGGCCUGCCUUUGAAACUGGUUUUCUUGAGUACAGGAGAGGCAGGCGGAAUUCCUAGUGUAGCGGUGAAAUGCGUAGAUAUUAGGAGGAACACCAGGGGCGAAGGCGGUCUGCUGGACAGCAACUGACGCUGAGGCGCGAAAGCGUGGGGAGCAAACAGGAUUAGAUACCCCUGUAGUC